AUUUCGUGAUUUACUGGCGUCCUC
This 24-nucleotide non-coding RNA is filed under the name Arabidopsis thaliana (thale cress). The record is from RNAcentral. Lineage: Eukaryota; Viridiplantae; Streptophyta; Magnoliopsida; Brassicales; Brassicaceae.